CCCAACCAGGGGGAGCAGCAGCAGCGCUCAGCGCCCGGCACAUUCCUCAGACGGACAUACGAUGGCUCAGCCACAGGAACCAAUGGGAGCAGCCUGGAGCGUACAGCGGCAGCCGUGGGACUAGCGGGAAUUACAGGCACAUGAUUCUGUGGGACUAAAAGCUGGAUAAAACACAAACAAAGAGCCAGAAAACCCUGAAAUUGAUGUACUGUAGCAGAAAACUGCUGGAUUGCUGACAAGCAGAACAGCGUGAGUUGCACUGCAUUUGACGGUCCAAGCCUACAGUGAUUGCCAAAACAACUCUCAGAGGCAUUCUAGGAAGCAGGCUUAUCGAGGUUAGAACAUCCUAUGUAGCACACAGAGGAAGGCAAGGAACUCAACACCCCAUUGACAGUAUUCUCCAAGCUCCCAGCAAUCAGCAGUUCUGGCAAUUCGUAUGUUUUCACUUCUGGUUGGAGCAAGCCUGCCAGCCCAGUACAUGCUUUCAUUAUGUGGCCAACCAUUACCUUACAGCAGACAUCACUGGUGGACAAAUUCAUUAUUGACAAGCAGGAUCACCAAGAACGAUGGGAUGGAUACAAUAUACCUGGACCCAGGCUGUCAGAGAAGAAAAGACACGCCCUCAAGAUCAUGUAACAUAGUAACAUAAUUUCUGCAGUUGAAAAAAUACAAUUUGUUCAUCAAGUUCAACCUAUUUGUGGUCUCCUGUGCUGUAUUAUUUUUAGGACCAAUUUUAUCUGUUGUGAAUGUCGGCUGUUGUGUUUAUUUCUCUAUUGUAAACUAUAGUGCAUGAUCUACCCACCAUAAGCCUGUAUACCCUUAUCCAUUAGGAAUUUAUCUAGCCC
Pseudophryne corroboree (corroboree frog) is the source of this 845-nucleotide long non-coding RNA. RefSeq lists it as uncharacterized. Lineage: Eukaryota; Metazoa; Chordata; Amphibia; Anura; Myobatrachidae. The record is from RefSeq and is a predicted model, not a curated record. The transcript has 3 exons.